RNAcentral lists this ribosomal RNA (591 nucleotides) under Fermentozyma sake. Its description in RNAcentral is "eukaryotic LSU rRNA". It matches the Rfam family "Eukaryotic large subunit ribosomal RNA", at positions 47 to 662 of the family's 3401-position model. The record is from RNAcentral. Lineage: Eukaryota; Fungi; Ascomycota; Pichiomycetes; Serinales; Debaryomycetaceae.
UAAGCGGAGGAAAGGAAACCAACCGGGAUUGCCUCAGUAACGGCGAGUGAAGCGGCAAAAGCUCAAAUUUGAAAUCUGCGUAAGCCGAGUUGUAAUUUGAAGAUGGCUACUUUGGUAAUGGCUCUUGUCUAUGUUCCUUGGAACAGGACGUCACAGAGGGUGAGAAUCCCGUGCGAUGAGAUGUCCAUUACCGUGUAAAGUGCUUUCGAAGAGUCGAGUUGUUUGGGAAUGCAGCUCUAAGUGGGUGGUAAAUUCCAUCUAAAGCUAAAUAUUGGCGAGAGACCGAUAGCGAACAAGUACAGUGAUGGAAAGAUGAAAAGAACUUUGAAAAGAGAGUGAAAAAGUACGUGAAAUUGUUGAAAGGGAAGGGCUUGAGAUCAGACUUGGUAUUUUGUAUGGCUUGCUUUCGGGCGGGUCCUCUGCAGUUUACUGGGCCAGCAUCGGUUUGGGUGGCAGGAUAAUAGCAUAGGAAUGUGGCUCUACUUCGGUGGAGUGUUAUAGCCUUUGUUGAUACUGCCUGCCUAGACCGAGGACUGCGUCUUUUGACUAGGAUGCUGGCAUAAUGAUCCUAAGCCGCCCGUCUUGAAACAA